GACGAACGCUGGCGGCGUGCUUAACACAUUCAAGUCGAACGGAAAGGCCCUGCUUUUGUGGGGUGCUCGAGUGGCGAACGGGUGAGUAACACGUGAGUAACCUGCCCUUUACUUUGGGAUAACUUCAGGAAACUGGGGCUACUACCGGAUAGGAGCUCCUGCUGCAUGGUGGGGGUUGGAAAGUUUCGGCGGUUGGGGAUGGACUCGCGGCUUAUCAGCUUGUUGGUGGGGUAGUGGCUUACCAAGGCUUUGACGGUUAGCCGGCCUGAGAGGGUGACCGGCCACAUUGGGACUGAGAUACGGCCCAGACUCCUACGGGAGGCAGCAGUGGGGAAUAUUGCACAAUGGGCGGAAGACUGAUGCAGCAACGACGCGUGCGGGAUGACGGCCUUCGGGUUGUAAACCGCUUUCGCCUGUGACGAAGCGUGAGUGACGGUAAUGGGUAAAGAAGCACCGGCUAACUACGUG
Molecule: ribosomal RNA, 468 nt
Filed under: uncultured bacterium
Lineage: Bacteria
Description: partial 16S ribosomal RNA
Rfam family: Bacterial small subunit ribosomal RNA
Source: RNAcentral